GGAAUAACCUUUAUAUUCAUUUGUCUCAUAUUUCAUACUUCAUACUCACUCUUAAACUAUGCACUUAAGGCUACGUACACCAUGCGGUAUCUUUCUCACAACAUGACAAAAUUCACGACAAACUUGCGACAACCGUACAACAAUAGUACAAAAUAAUAUCAAGUGUCGGUUAGAUUGGUCUCGAAAGUCUCUAUAAAAAAUUCACUUGAAGAAACAUCAAUAAUAUUUUAUCGCUAUGCGAAUCCAACAUUCAAUUGAACAUGAAAGUAUGAUUUGGGCAUGGCAUUUUUAAUCAUACAUAAACAUUUCAUUUUUAAACUCUUACAGACGUAUUUAAUGAAAUAUUACAUCUUCGCAAUAGCUAAACUCCGAAAAAAGAGAAAAAACAAGAGAAAAUUACUUUUAAACAAUGAUCUUUACUGAUUUUAUGGACAAGAAUGUCUGGCCCUUUUUAAUUUCACAUGACACACCUUUCGAUUGAAUUGGAUUUUGUUUAAAUGUUACUCUAAAAUUGAUGUGGUUUAAGAGUAAGUCGAAAUUUAGUCAAAUGGGAAGAUGUAUUAUUUAUUUUUACUAUUUAUGAGACCACGGAUGUUCAUGCUUAACAAUAGUUACAAAAUUUCCAUAAUCUAUAUUCUGAUAACUGUCACAUUAGAUUAAAAUUGUACAUUGAAAGGUUUUCUUGUGUACUAUAAAUAGCAGGUAUCGUUCCAAAAAAUACAACACGCCUUUUACGAAUUACUUUAGACCUUAACUUUUCAUAUUUAAUUUUAUGUUAGGCUUAAUAAUAUGUCCAUAAUAUUUCAAUAGUCAAUAAACAUAUUAGUUCAGACUGCUUCAUCAACGAGCCAUAAGGACGAACUCCUUUACAAAAACUAAAAUUCUGACAGUCAAGUUUAGGCGACAACAAAUUGUGUACCAUGAUCACUAACUAUAGUACACGGUAUACCCAAUAAUGGCGUGUGUAUUUACUGGUCCAGAUCCGUCAGUAAUGUCUCAACAGUGCCGUCAACGGUAAUCCCAAUAACUGUGGUAUGUAGAAUUUGACAAAUAUUUAUUCAAAACAUUAACAUUAUUAAAAAACCUUACCACUUAUUAAAAUCUAAAAACCCUUUGUAUCCUUUUUUGAUCACUAUAAAGAGGUAUUUUCGAUAUACGUUUCUAAUUUUGUGAAAAAGCUUCUUAGAGAGAAAUUUACGAAUACUCAACCACACGCUGACUUUAUAGUUUAUAGCCACUGUCGCAACACGUCACUAUAUUAGUGAAAAUAAUAUUUUGAGUAAGUUGUACUAUAUACAAAAAUCGCUCAUAAAAAAUCCAAACGUAUUUGGUAACAAACGUAUUGAGAAAAUAAUACGAAAAAUAAACAAUAGAUAAAAUUAUUUGUGAUGAAUGUCAUAUAAACAUGCGAAAUAGUGAUCACUGCUAAUAAACUAUUACAAAUCAAGUAGCCGUAGAAACGUAGAUAAAACUUGUCAUAAAAAAGCUUAAAAGUAGGUGAGACCUACAACAUUUAUCCAAAUAUCUAAAAUAAAAUAAUCAAUCAAUAAAAAAACUCGUAAACACUAACUUCACUAACAGUUAUUAUAAUUCAACACAAUAAUAAUUCUAAUAUAAAACUGCUACGUAAUAAUAAUAAUAAUUAAAGCGAAUCUGACGCAAACGAAAAAGUCUUAAAUAUUCCAAGAACACGCCAUACAUUAAUUAUAACCUUAAAACAGUUAUUCUCGUACACAAAAUAUGUCAUUUAUCUUAAAAACUACUAUUUUACUUUCACAGGUAUAUCUAUUUGAGCAGCCACAUACAUCCAGAGUUCAACUCUUAAUUCAAAGAUGGAAUUCAAAUUUUGAAACCAAAAAUCAAAAAUUUUGUAUGCAUCACAUUAAAAAAAAAAUCUGGUUACGAUUUUUUCGGAUCGAUCAGUCAUAAUAAUACAUAAUAUCAUUUUAUGAUUAUAUAUCCUGAAUUCAGAACACUAGUCAAUAUUAUUUAGUUGCGUCUGAAUUCUGGAUUAGAAAAUUUAAGAAUAUGAAUUUAGAACUUUUUCUAGUCACACACUCUGUAAGUGUUCUGUGUUCUCUACUAUUUGGGAAACAUAAGGCAAGUACCCAAUUUUAAGAUCUUGAAUUCCGCCUUUGAAUUCAGAAUAGAAUUCCGGAUGUUUGAGGCCGCCCUCAGUGCGUAAACCACAAUCUGACGCGCAAUCCUUAUCUUAUUCUACCUUCUUUUGUUAGCACAUCACAGAUCAUGUAUUUCAGUGGGGUUGCGUAAAUUGUUAAUUUUUUAAUAUUAAUUAUUAACUCAUCAUACAUUUUUUUCGUCUAUUUUAUAAUACUUUAAUAUUGCUUAAAAUUUUAAUCUAUGAACAUUUAUUUUAAUUUCGUGGUUUAUCAUUAAAUUAAAGUAAUUUACUUACACAUUAAAGAUUAAAAUAGUUGUGUCAAUGGAAAAUAAGUUUUUGGAAAAUUUCGUAAUUAGGUAGUUAGUAUACUUUUUUGAUAGUUCUUAUAAAUUAUAUCAGUAAGAUAAUGAAUUAUAAUGACGAUCUUGAUAAACAUUUCUUUAUCCAAUAUGGUAGCACAAAACCUUUUUUUCACUUAAGAUUAAAAUGGGCGACGAAAAAAUUAACGCAAAGAAAUUAGAUAAAUAACACAGUCUAAGUUUAGAAGUAAAUCCACGCUACCCCACCGUCCAGGCACAUCCAGCUAACAAAAUACAGCCUUCCCACUCUGCGCUAUGUUUACUUACAAAAUAACAUUACCUCUAUCAUAAAUUACUGUAUAAACGUAUGUUAAAGUUUCAACUUAAUUUAAUAACUUAGCUUACCGUACCGAAAGCUAAUUCCUAUUUGGCUUCUUUCAAGUUGAACUAUAAUUAUGUCUUGUUUUAAUAUUAUUAUUUAUGUUUAAUCUAAGUUGUUUAAAAAUGGCUCAAUUUGGUAUCGCUGUUAAUAAUAUUAUCAGGCAGUUUACACACUGAUAGCACAUUUGUAUCAUGUAGGAUACGUCUUCAAUUUUCAAUUUCAUUAAAACUACCGUGUUUACUUACACUGUGACUGAGAUAUUUUCAGUGUGUAAACAGCCUAAAUAUAUGUAUAUUAUAUCUUCAUAAAGGAACCUCUUAACAAAAUUAUGUCUUAUUCUUUUGAGCAAAGAGUAUUGCCCUCAGAAACUAUAUAUUUGUAUAAUAUAUUAAGUUAUAUUACAUCACUAAUAUCUUACUUAAAUAUUUUAAGUUUAAAUCGAUUGACCCACGUCCGGACUGACUGGAUUGCUUUAUAGAUACUAAUUUUAUUAUUUUAUAACUGUGCAUGAUGAUCUUUGUACUCAUUUCAAAGUCGGUUAGUAAUAAUAAAAAUGGCGCACUGCAAUAAAAAAUAAUGUCGGACGAUAAAUUUAUGCAGCGUGAAAUUCAUUGGUUGCUUAAAUGAUUGUCUUGAAUAGUACAAUCGAUUUAUCAGAAAAAAAAAUAUAGAAAAAAAUUAUAAGUAUUUACAAUAAUUAUGAAUAACAAAACACGUUUUUGUUAACGUGUUUUGUUAGUCACAGUUUUAAAGUCACAGUCUAGACACCGGACGCGGCCUUAUAUUUGUGAAAAAUAUUUUAUACUGAGAUCUCAUUUACAUUUCAUUUACUUUGUUCCAUCUCAAUACUGGUAUACAACUACUAUAUGACUACUAUUACUGAUCUAAGAAUUAAAAAUAGACGAUACAAGACAAUAAUUAUUAGUUCACCUUUUUUUAUAUAAACGCGAGCGUACGCGCCUUUUAUUUUUUAAUGUGCAAAGUUUGUUUCCAUUCUCUUUUUUUUAUACCUUUAACAUUCCUAAGCUAUACAAAAAUAUCAUUUUCUAACAGACCCUUUAAUGUUGAUUCCGUCAUAUCAAGGUACUUUAAGGACCUUCUAGGAUUCCAUUGCAUUUGCCACACAGUAUUGUACAUACAUUUUGAGAAAGGUCUUGCUCUAUGUGUCAACUGUCAAAAGAAUAUUUUAGUCCUUAAUUAAACCAUACUUUUGACAUGACUUUAAUGUGUCAUAGACCAAAAAUGGCGAGGGCGUUCUCAAAAUGUAUGUAUUAUAUACGGUACGUUAGAUACCUUUACGCCAUAGACCGCUUUUAUCACACUAAUGCAUAGGCAAGCGGCAGCGAAACUAUUAAUUCCUUUAUUCCUUGGACAUAAAGGCGUUGGCGAUUCGUUACUGCUUGCAAAUGCGUUGCUGUGCUAAAGGGGCUUAAUAAGCUUACAUCAUACAACCAAGUAUUUUAAAUAGAGUUUUGUGUGUGAACACAAUUACUAAGUGCGUGACGAUACGUAUAUCUGUAACUAAGGUAAGAACAUAUCGAGGUAUUGAUAAUAUAAAAGGUAAGCGAAAAAUGAAUAAUUAAAAUGGUCUGACAUUAAAGGGUCCAUAACCAAGCAUAAAUAACAAUUUAGAUAACGGAAGACAAGCAAAAAGAAAUUUGGAAGACAAUAAGCCGAAAUGUAUCGAAAUAAUUCAGUUACUUAAAUUUAACAUCACAAAACAUAAGUAACAAAUGCUUAUUUAAAAUCGAUAAUACAUCCGAUUCAAUAUCGAUGAAAUGUAUAAAAUAUGUACCCACUGUAUCAAAUUAGUAACCCGUCUAACACUCCUUUUCGAUACAAAAUCAUCUUGCAUUUCAUGCAAAUACUUUAGUAUGAGUCCUUGGAAUAACGGGCGACGUGAAAGAUAGAUCGAUUGUAUUUUAUACUUUUUAUCGAUAUCAAAUCAGAUAAUGAUGCUAAUUCGAUUGUAUCGUACAUAAAUCUCUAAGUAAACCAAAAUUUACAGGUCUAAAAGUAGUACCUACAUCCAUUUCACAGUGGAGAAGGAAGCAUUGCUUUCAGACCGAUCAAAUCAAUUAAGAGAAUUGUGUAUUGAAUUAGCACAAAUAAUGCGAAUAAGGCGUUACUAAAUCAUUGAAUAGUCCAUCGUAGUACUGUACAACAUUUCACAAUCCAUAUCACAUCACUAAACAAACUUGCACAUUUCACCUGGUUCCAGCGAUCGCGUCACCACUCAAGGGAUAAUAAAAACACUGAUUGAUAAAACGCCACGGUAUACAUUUUUUUUUUAAUUUUAACAAAAACUUAAAAAAUUCUUAACCUAGACUGGGUUAAGAAUUUCUUAAGCUUUAACAGACCCACUACAAACUUUAAGUCUAAAAUCUAAGCUUAUUGAUUCUGUUCAGACUUCAAGUUAAAACGAAACGGAUUUUUUCUCUGACGUAACUUGCGAGUUAACACGAGAAUUUAUGUCUCUUGCGUAACUUAGUACAAACUUUUACUCUUAAGUUGAAGAAGAAAAGGGAAAAGUCAGGUUUACCAUGACUGAAUUACUU
Long non-coding RNA from Maniola jurtina (meadow brown), 5361 nucleotides. RefSeq lists it as uncharacterized. The transcript has 2 exons. The record is from RefSeq and is a predicted model, not a curated record. NCBI's taxonomy places the organism in Eukaryota, Metazoa, Arthropoda, Insecta, Lepidoptera, Nymphalidae.